Dissoconium aciculare CBS 342.82 is the source of this 117-nucleotide non-coding RNA. The record is from the annotation of a RefSeq genome assembly. NCBI's taxonomy places the organism in Eukaryota, Fungi, Ascomycota, Dothideomycetes, Mycosphaerellales, Dissoconiaceae.
UCUCCUUUGACGCAGUGGCUUAGCGUGUCGUUCUUAUAUUUGCCCCACGGGACUAAUAUGGCCUUUGCCCUACAUGAGGUUAUGCGAAAGUCGCGAGUUCGAAUCUCGCAAGGAGAA